RNAcentral lists this ribosomal RNA (265 nucleotides) under uncultured archaeon. Its description in RNAcentral is "partial 16S ribosomal RNA". It matches the Rfam family "Archaeal small subunit ribosomal RNA", at positions 717 to 982 of the family's 1478-position model. The record is from RNAcentral.
ACACGACUACAUUAGAUACCCCCGUAGUCCUAGCCGUAAACGAUACUCGCUAGGUGUCGGCCACGGUGCGACCGUUGUCGGUGCCGUAGGGAAGCCGUGAAGCGAGCCACCUGGGAAGUACGGCCGCAAGGCUGAAACUUAAAGGAAUUGGCGGGGGAGCACCACAACGGGUGGAGCUUGCGGUUUAAUUGGAUUCAACGCCGGAAAUCUUACCGGGACCGACAGCAACAUGAAGGCCAAGCUGAAGACUUUGCCGGAUUAGCUG